CCCUUUGGGUGUGACUGCGUACCUUUUGUAUAAUGGGUCAGCGACUUAUAUUCUGUAGCAAGGUUAACCGAAUAGGGGAGCCGGAGGGAAACCGAGUCUUAACCGGGCGUUAAGUUGCAGGGUAUAGACCCGAAACCCGGUGAUCUAGCCAUGGGCAGGUUGAAGGUUGGGUAACACUAACUGGAGGACCGAACCGACUAAUGUUGAAAAAUUAGCGGAUGACCUGUGGCUGGGGGUGAAAGGCCAAUCAAACCGGGAGAUAGCUGGUUCUCCCCGAAAGCUAUUUAGGUAGCGCCUCGUGAAUUCAUCUCCGGGGGUAGAGCACUGUUUCGGCUAGGGGGCCAUCCCGGCUUACCAACCCGAUGCAAACUGCGAAUACCGGAGAAUGUUAUCACGGGAGACACACGGCGGGUGCUAACGUCCGUCGUGAAGAGGGAAACAACCCAGACCGCCAGCUAAGGUCCCAAAGUCAUGGUUAAGUGGGAAACGAUGUGGGAAGGCCCAGACAGCCAGGAUGUUGGCUUAGAAGCAGCCAUCAUUUAAAGAAAGCGUAAUAGCUCACUGGUCGAGUCGGCCUGCGCGGAAGAUGUAACGGGGCUAAACCAUGCACCGAAGCUGCGGCAGCGACACUGUGUGUUGUU
RNAcentral lists this ribosomal RNA (641 nucleotides) under Salmonella enterica. RNAcentral describes it as "partial 23S ribosomal RNA". It matches the Rfam family "Bacterial large subunit ribosomal RNA", at positions 582 to 1225 of the family's 2925-position model. RNAcentral also lists the same sequence under 1 other name. The record is from RNAcentral. Lineage: Bacteria; Pseudomonadati; Pseudomonadota; Gammaproteobacteria; Enterobacterales; Enterobacteriaceae.